GUAAUAGCUCACUGGUCGAGUCGGCCUGCGCGGAAGAUGUAACGGGGCUAAACCAUGCACCGAAGCUGCGGCAGCGACACUCAGGUGUUGUUGGGUAGGGGAGCGUUCUGUAAGCCUGUGAAGGUGGCCUGUGAGGGUUGCUGGAGGUAUCAGAAGUGCGAAUGCUGACAUAAGUAACGAUAAAGCGGGUGAAAAGCCCGCUCGCCGGAAGACCAAGGGUUCCUGUCCAACGUUAAUCGGGGCAGGGUGAGUCGACCCCUAAGGCGAGGCCGAAAGGCGUAGUCGAUGGGAAACGGGUUAAUAUUCCCGUACUUGGUGUUACUGCGAAGGGGGGACGGAGAAGGCUAUGUUGGCCGGGCGACGGUUGUCCCGGUUUAAGCGUGUAGGUGUGUGUUCCAGGUAAAUCCGGUUCACUUUAACACUGAGGCGUGAUGACGAGGCACUACGGUGCUGAAGCAACAAAUGCCCUGCUUCCAGGAAAAGCCUCUAAGCAUCAGGUAACAUCAAAUC
This 510-nucleotide ribosomal RNA is filed under the name Salmonella enterica. RNAcentral describes it as "partial 23S ribosomal RNA". It matches the Rfam family "Bacterial large subunit ribosomal RNA", at positions 1134 to 1643 of the family's 2925-position model. Lineage: Bacteria; Pseudomonadati; Pseudomonadota; Gammaproteobacteria; Enterobacterales; Enterobacteriaceae. The record is from RNAcentral. RNAcentral also lists the same sequence under 9 other names.